Molecule: long non-coding RNA, 704 nt
Filed under: Setaria viridis
Lineage: Eukaryota; Viridiplantae; Streptophyta; Magnoliopsida; Poales; Poaceae
Description: long non-coding RNA (SVIR_LNC010007)
Source: RNAcentral
AGCACGUUCAUAACUGCCAUCCAUCAUUGUCGAGAGCUGCUGCCGCUGCGAACUCAGGCCCACAGCAAGGCCUAGAUGCAUGUGUCGCAUCAUGGCUGACACCACACUAAGCCCACCAUGUCGCCAGACUGUCACAGCCGGAUAAGGGCGCCGGUCGUCAGAUCCGAUCCGACCCUCAGCGCAUGGAAUCCACCACCUAGAGGCUACUUGUACAUUCUCAACUCUACUUGUAAAUUCUCAAUGUGCUUUAUCUUGCUCCAAUCAUCUCCUGACUCGCUGCAUCUUUGCUUAAACCUCUUUGUGCAUUGUGAUAGUGUCAAGGUAUGCAAAGAGGUCAGUCUCUCAAUGCACGGAGGCAAAGUUUUCAUCCAGUAGGUCUCUACUUUGAGCUCACGGAGAGAUGCCAUAUCUCCCAACCAUUCUGGCAAGGUUUCCAUGUCCUCACAGUUCAGUAUCUCUAGCUUCCUGAGGGAUUUCCAGCCUAGAAUGCACUUUGGCAAAGGUACAGGAUCGAUGCAACUGUCAACAGUUAAUUCUUCAAUGUCAAGCAGUUGAAGAGAAUCGGAGUCAGAAGAUAUAUCUUUGAUGUACUUGAUUUCCAUUUUGGAUGAUAAAGCAGAUGUUGCUAGCCCCAUGACUUGGUAGAAUGAUGGCCAAUUGAAUAAAAAUGGAUAUUGUUUAAUUCCAGAUAUGAUAUACCUGGC